This 434-nucleotide ribosomal RNA is filed under the name uncultured bacterium. RNAcentral describes it as "bacterial SSU rRNA". It matches the Rfam family "Bacterial small subunit ribosomal RNA", at positions 29 to 494 of the family's 1533-position model. The record is from RNAcentral.
AUGAACGCUGGCGGCGUGCCUAACACAUGCAAGUCGAGCGAUUCUCUUCGGAGAAGAGCGGCGGACGGGUGAGUAACGCGUGGGUAACCUGCCUCAUACACAUGGAUAACAUACCGAAAGGUAUGCUAAUACAGGAUAACAUAAGAGAUUCGCAUGUUUCUCUUAUCAAAGCUCCGGCGGUAUGAGAUGGACCCGCGUCUGAUUAGCUAGUUGGUAAGGUAAUGGCUUACCAAGGCAACGAUCAGUAGCCGACCUGAGAGGGUGAUCGGCCACAUUGGAACUGAGACACGGUCCAAACUCCUACGGGAGGCAGCAGUGGGGAAUAUUGCACAAUGGGCGAAAGCCUGAUGCAGCAACGCCGCGUGAGUGAUGAAGGCCUUCGGGUCGUAAAACUCUGUCCUCAAGGAAGAUAAUGACGGUACUGAGAGAGCCUG